AUACGUAGGGUGCAAGCGUUAAUCGGAAUUACUGGGCGUAAAGCGUGCGCAGGCGGUUUUGUAAGACAGAGGUGAAAUCCCCGGGCUCAACCUGGGAACUGCCUUUGUGACUGCAAGGCUGGAGUGCGGCCGAGGGGGAUGGAAUUCCGCGUGUAGCAGUGAAAUGCGUAGAUAUGCGGAGGAACACCGAUGGCGAAGGCAAUCCCCUGGGCCUGCACUGACGCUCAUGCACGAAAGCGUGGGGAGCAAACAGGAUUAGAUACCCUGGUAGUCCACGCCCUAAACGAUGUCAACUGGUUGUUGGGGAUUUAUUUUCUCAGUAACGAAGCUAACGCGUGAAGUUGACCGCCUGGGGAGUACGGCCGCAAGGUUAAAACUCAAAUGAAUUGACGGGG
This 395-nucleotide ribosomal RNA is filed under the name uncultured bacterium. Its description in RNAcentral is "partial 16S ribosomal RNA". It matches the Rfam family "Bacterial small subunit ribosomal RNA", at positions 523 to 918 of the family's 1533-position model. The record is from RNAcentral.